RNAcentral lists this ribosomal RNA (253 nucleotides) under uncultured bacterium. RNAcentral describes it as "partial 16S ribosomal RNA". It matches the Rfam family "Bacterial small subunit ribosomal RNA", at positions 524 to 776 of the family's 1533-position model. The record is from RNAcentral.
UACGAAGGGGGCUAGCGUUGCUCGGAAUCACUGGGCGUAAAGCGCACGUAGGCGGAUUGCUAAGUCAGGGGUGAAAUCCUGGAGCUCAACUCCAGAACUGCCUUUGAUACUGGCGACCUUGAGUCCGGGAGAGGUGAGUGGAACUGCGAGUGUAGAGGUGAAAUUCGUAGAUAUUCGCAAGAACCCCAGUGGCGAAGGCGGCUCACUGGCCCGGUACUGACGCUGAGGUGCGAAAGCGUGGGGAGCAAACAGG